Molecule: long non-coding RNA, 515 nt
Organism: Drosophila willistoni
Lineage: Eukaryota; Metazoa; Arthropoda; Insecta; Diptera; Drosophilidae
Exons: 4
Source: RefSeq, a predicted model, not a curated record
CAACAAAAAACGGACGCCUUUCAUACACCGCGAGUGUUGUGCGCGAAAAAAAAGCAGCCGAAUGUGUGAUCAAAAACUGACGAACCGAUCAGUGCCUAUGGGCAAAUGUCUUCAUAUAUGCGCAUGUGUAUGUACACAGUUAACUCGAUCGGAUGAUAGGAAAUUCAAUGUCCCAUAAAUGUGCGACACCGAAAUGGAUUAUGUGUAUGUGGAUAUGUGCGUGCAUCAAUAUAUGACGAUGUAUGUAUGUAAGUAGGUGCACCGAUUUGCGGAUACGCGCGUGAGGAAAUUAAUUGGGCAAUUGAAAUAAUUCGAACACACAAGAAAUCGAGCUGUGGAAAAUAAAUGUACAUGUGGGUGUAAACGAGUUUUACAUAUGUAUGGUAGAUGGAGAAAAUAAAAGUGGAAUUGGACAAGUGAGGAAAAAUGCGUGGUCGUGGAAUGGGAAAAAAAAAGUUGGACAAGCACACUAAGCAUCGGGAACAGGAAUUCCGCUGAUGCAAGCUGGAGGAGCG